This is a non-coding RNA of Paramuricea clavata, 1212 nucleotides long. NCBI's taxonomy places the organism in Eukaryota, Metazoa, Cnidaria, Anthozoa, Malacalcyonacea, Plexauridae. The record is from the annotation of a GenBank genome assembly.
GUUUAUUGUUGAAAAUAGACAAGUUUAAAAAUACUAAAAAUGAUUAAUUUUUUUGCAUUGUGACUGAUAUGAGAUAUCGCCAUUUUGGCAGUUCAAUGAAUAAAAUGGCAGGCUAAAAUUUAUUUCACCUGCCAAAAAAAUUUAGACUGGCAGACCAUAUUUUUUCUCUACUUUAAUGAGCCCUGGACGAGUAAAAUUAUCUGGCGUUAGACAAUGAAAAAAUAAGUAGGGCACACUGUGGCGCAUUGCAGCUCAAUGGGUUAACCAUUAAGUGCCAGCGCUCUCCACUUGACGAGUAAAAUCGUCUGGCGUUACGCAGAGUAAAAUACUAAAGUAGGGUGCAACAGGGUGCAAUGCGACUCAAUGGGUUAACUAGACACAUGGGCAGAUAGACCAGUUAACCCAUUAAGGGCCAGCGCUCUCUCCUUGACGUGUAAAAUCGUCUGGCGUUAGACAGAGUAAAAUACUAAAGUAGGGUGCAUCAGGGUGCAAUGCGACUCAAUGGGUUAAUAUGGCAUAAUUAUGACAGAUCAAUACAUUCUGAUAAUAAUACUGCGAUUUCCAGUUGAGUAUGGAAUUACGAAAGUUUGUUCGUAGAGUUUGUUCGUUAACUUUUGUCGUUUGAAAACAAUGUUUGUGACGUCAUUCUAUAAUGUUACCAGGCGAGCACACAAUGUUGUCAAGUAAAAACCGUUAAAAACUAUCAAUCAUUACAAAACGAAAUAAGUUUCUAUUUAUAGUCGUGAACUUGGCAGUAUUUUACUUGACAACAUUGUCAGCUCGCCUAACAACAUUAUAAAAUGAUGUCACAAACAUUGUUUUCAAACGACAAAACUUGACGAACAAACUUUCGCAAUUCCAUACUCAACUGGAGAUCGCAGUAUUAACUUAUUCAGGAAUUAAUUCACACAAAUGAUUGUUAAAUGUUAAAUGUAUCGGAUAAAUGCUGGGCAUCAAGAAUAUAUGGAUAGUAUCCUUCAUACAGCAUUACAGCUACAUUUAUAAUAAUAUUCAGGCUAUAAAUAUAAGUUGUUUUAUGUACUAGCUAUUUAAAAGUGUUUUGUCAGAUUUAAACAUUAGAGGCAAAGCCAAGUAUCUUUAGGUCUGAUAAUUAAACACGCUCUGUGAAUGUUUUAAAUUAUUCAAAAACGACCGAUCUAGUAAGUUCAUUGGCGAAGUAAUUUUCAAAAAAUACAUUGUGUAAGUAGAGAA